RNAcentral lists this transfer RNA (61 nucleotides) under Heterocephalus glaber (naked mole-rat). It matches the Rfam family "tRNA", at positions 6 to 65 of the family's 71-position model. Rfam says of the family: Transfer RNA (tRNA) molecules are approximately 80 nucleotides in length. Lineage: Eukaryota; Metazoa; Chordata; Mammalia; Rodentia; Bathyergidae. The record is from Rfam by way of RNAcentral.
UGUAGCUUAGUGGUAGAGCACUUGCCUAGCAUGCAUGAUGUCCUGGGUUCAAUACCUAGUA